RNAcentral lists this transfer RNA (72 nucleotides) under bacterium. RNAcentral's name for it is "tRNA-Arg". It matches the Rfam family "tRNA". Rfam says of the family: Transfer RNA (tRNA) molecules are approximately 80 nucleotides in length. The record is from RNAcentral.
GUCUCCAUAGCUCAAUGGAUAGAGCGUAGGCCUCCGAAGCUUGAGAUGUAGGUUCGAUUCCUACUGGGGACA